This 2657-nucleotide ribosomal RNA is filed under the name Escherichia coli. Its description in RNAcentral is "bacterial LSU rRNA". It matches the Rfam family "Bacterial large subunit ribosomal RNA", at positions 296 to 2925 of the family's 2925-position model. The record is from RNAcentral. Lineage: Bacteria; Pseudomonadati; Pseudomonadota; Gammaproteobacteria; Enterobacterales; Enterobacteriaceae.
AGCCCAGAGCCUGAAUCAGUGUGUGUGUUAGUGGAAGCGUCUGGAAAGGCGCGCGAUACAGGGUGACAGCCCCGUACACAAAAAUGCACAUGCUGUGAGCUCGAUGAGUAGGGCGGGACACGUGGUAUCCUGUCUGAAUAUGGGGGGACCAUCCUCCAAGGCUAAAUACUCCUGACUGACCGAUAGUGAACCAGUACCGUGAGGGAAAGGCGAAAAGAACCCCGGCGAGGGGAGUGAAAAAGAACCUGAAACCGUGUACGUACAAGCAGUGGGAGCACGCUUAGGCGUGUGACUGCGUACCUUUUGUAUAAUGGGUCAGCGACUUAUAUUCUGUAGCAAGGUUAACCGAAUAGGGGAGCCGAAGGGAAACCGAGUCUUAACUGGGCGUUAAGUUGCAGGGUAUAGACCCGAAACCCGGUGAUCUAGCCAUGGGCAGGUUGAAGGUUGGGUAACACUAACUGGAGGACCGAACCGACUAAUGUUGAAAAAUUAGCGGAUGACUUGUGGCUGGGGGUGAAAGGCCAAUCAAACCGGGAGAUAGCUGGUUCUCCCCGAAAGCUAUUUAGGUAGCGCCUCGUGAAUUCAUCUCCGGGGGUAGAGCACUGUUUCGGCAAGGGGGUCAUCCCGACUUACCAACCCGAUGCAAACUGCGAAUACCGGAGAAUGUUAUCACGGGAGACACACGGCGGGUGCUAACGUCCGUCGUGAAGAGGGAAACAACCCAGACCGCCAGCUAAGGUCCCAAAGUCAUGGUUAAGUGGGAAACGAUGUGGGAAGGCCCAGACAGCCAGGAUGUUGGCUUAGAAGCAGCCAUCAUUUAAAGAAAGCGUAAUAGCUCACUGGUCGAGUCGGCCUGCGCGGAAGAUGUAACGGGGCUAAACCAUGCACCGAAGCUGCGGCAGCGACGCUGAUGCGUUGUUGGGUAGGGGAGCGUUCUGUAAGCCUGUGAAGGUGUACUGUGAGGUAUGCUGGAGGUAUCAGAAGUGCGAAUGCUGACAUAAGUAACGAUAAAGCGGGUGAAAAGCCCGCUCGCCGGAAGACCAAGGGUUCCUGUCCAACGUUAAUCGGGGCAGGGUGAGUCGACCCCUAAGGCGAGGCCGAAAGGCGUAGUCGAUGGGAAACAGGUUAAUAUUCCUGUACUUGGUGUUACUGCGAAGGGGGGACGGAGAAGGCUAUGUUGGCCGGGCGACGGUUGUCCCGGUUUAAGCGUGUAGGCUGGUUUUCCAGGCAAAUCCGGAAAACUAAGGCUGAGGCGUGAUGACGAGGCACUACGGUGCUGAAGCAACAAAUGCCCUGCUUCCAGGAAAAGCCUCUAAGCAUCAGGUAACAUCAAAUCGUACCCCAAACCGACACAGGUGGUCAGGUAGAGAAUACCAAGGCGCUUGAGAGAACUCGGGUGAAGGAACUAGGCAAAAUGGUGCCGUAACUUCGGGAGAAGGCACGCUGAUAUGUAGGUGAAGUCCCUCGCGGAUGGAGCUGAAAUCAGUCGAAGAUACCAGCUGGCUGCAACUGUUUAUUAAAAACACAGCACUGUGCAAACACGAAAGUGGACGUAUACGGUGUGACGCCUGCCCGGUGCCGGAAGGUUAAUUGAUGGGGUCAGCGCAAGCGAAGCUCUUGAUCGAAGCCCCGGUAAACGGCGGCCGUAACUAUAACGGUCCUAAGGUAGCGAAAUUCCUUGUCGGGUAAGUUCCGACCUGCACGAAUGGCGUAAUGAUGGCCAGGCUGUCUCCACCCGAGACUCAGUGAAAUUGAACUCGCUGUGAAGAUGCAGUGUACCCGCGGCAAGACGGAAAGACCCCGUGAACCUUUACUAUAGCUUGACACUGAACAUUGAGCCUUGAUGUGUAGGAUAGGUGGGAGGCUUUGAAGUGUGGACGCCAGUCUGCAUGGAGCCGACCUUGAAAUACCACCCUUUAAUGUUUGAUGUUCUAACGUUGACCCGUAAUCCGGGUUGCGGACAGUGUCUGGUGGGUAGUUUGACUGGGGCGGUCUCCUCCUAAAGAGUAACGGAGGAGCACGAAGGUUGGCUAAUCCUGGUCGGACAUCAGGAGGUUAGUGCAAUGGCAUAAGCCAGCUUGACUGCGAGCGUGACGGCGCGAGCAGGUGCGAAAGCAGGUCAUAGUGAUCCGGUGGUUCUGAAUGGAAGGGCCAUCGCUCAACGGAUAAAAGGUACUCCGGGGAUAACAGGCUGAUACCGCCCAAGAGUUCAUAUCGACGGCGGUGUUUGGCACCUCGAUGUCGGCUCAUCACAUCCUGGGGCUGAAGUAGGUCCCAAGGGUAUGGCUGUUCGCCAUUUAAAGUGGUACGCGAGCUGGGUUUAGAACGUCGUGAGACAGUUCGGUCCCUAUCUGCCGUGGGCGCUGGAGAAUUGAGGGGGGCUGCUCCUAGUACGAGAGGACCGGAGUGGACGCAUCACUGGUGUUCGGGUUGUCAUGCCAAUGGCACUGCCCGGUAGCUAAAUGCGGAAGAGAUAAGUGCUGAAAGCAUCUAAGCACGAAACUUGCCCCGAGAUGAGUUCUCCCUGACUCCUUGAGAGUCCUGAAGGAACGUUGAAGACGACGACGUUGAUAGGCCGGGUGUGUAAGCGCAGCGAUGCGUUGAGCUAACCGGUACUAAUGAACCGUGAGGCUUAACCUUACAACGCCGAAGCUGUU